ACUGAACCAAAGGAGGGAGUUGUGGGAACCUCCAAUCUGUAGCCUCUGGGUUAGAAGCAUAGGAAACAACCUAAGCUUUCAACUGGCAUCUUCUGGGAAUGAGCCCUUAACCUGUGGAAUUCGAUGCCAUCUCCAGGUGGACAGAAUCAGAACUAUGUUGAAUUUUAGGAUGCUCACCUGGUGUCCAGGGAAUUACUUGGUGAUGAGGUGUGAGGAAAUCCCCCCAUCCCCACCACACACACAUUGGAAUUUGUGACCAGAAUUUUUAGUCACAUUUGCAGGUUCCGGCUGGAUGUGAAUUUUGGUGGGACACUAUUGAACCCAGUAAACGUAGUGAGAAAGAAAUGUAUUCUGAGACAGACCCAAGCUAAGGACAUUGUUGAGAAAGGCCUGGGUAAUUUUUCACAUCAUGUUAUCACAUCACAAAUAAAAGCUUAAAAUUAAAGAGGAGGAAAGCCCGUGUACUCGGAUGAAGAGUACCAGAUUCGUAGGCUGACAGCCUGAGUUUAAUUAAGGCCUGCGUGAUUGAGGCAGGGAUGUCCCCACCUAACAAUUUCCCAUUACUGUAGUAAUGGCUCUCCCCCAUGCUUUCCCCUCGCUCCUCUGCCUCCUGGCCAACUCUGGUACUUCUUCACGUGGCUCUGCAUGGUGUGGUGUGCCUCCUCCUCUUGGGAAUUGUAGAUUACUCCAUGUUUUUCAUAAACAUAGAAUCACAAAGAAGCCUUAGGCUGUUGGGAAGCAGAACAUGCUGGCUUACUAUUGCACAAAGACAAAGAUAUUCACCUGGAAGCAUACUCUACAACCAAAAGUCACACCAUCGAUAUUAUUAUCUGUUUGUUUGAGAUCUAUUGCCGUAAACUAUGGUCUGAAGCUUUCGGUUCCUCAAAGCUGAGUCAACAUUGUUGAAAAUCUUCAGUGGAUUUGAUAUAAACACUACCAAUGCAGACAUUUUAUGGAAGAAAAAGGCCUUGUUGUUAUGAUCAGUAGAGCAUCAUCUAGAAUAGUGAUGUGGAUGAAUUUCACCACUAGAGCACUAAAUUCACCCCUGAAAUAAUAACACACAAAACUCUGAGCCGAUAUUGAGUGUUAAGGAUGUCCUUUCAUGUUUCCUCAUGAAGAUGAAGAUUAACUGCGGCUUGCCAAGCAUUUACAGGAUAAUCUUGUUUUUACCUUCAAAAGGCACAUUAAAUGUGAUGAAGCCAGAUAGGCCAGCACUCGUAUUUGCAAUGUUAUCUCCUCUGGUGCAUACAUGCAGCUGAUGCACUUAUGCUGUUGGGGCACUUUAAUAGGUCACUCUAUCAGAAAAAAAGAUGAAGUGUUAAAGGCUGUAUUGGGGCCUGCUAAGUGUAAUCCAAUACAGUGGGUCUGAUCCUGUCGAGUGUGUGAGAUACCGCAGAGGUUGUUAGGCAGUCUGUAGAGCGAGCCCCCCUAAGCUCACUUGCUUCUGGUUUUGUGUGAUUAUAAAGCCCACAAGUCAGGGGCAUCCAGUCCAGUAUCACCAAGAAGGUGCCAACAAUACUGUCAAUGGAAUGAUGCAUUUCUGUCAGUUCCAAAGACUGAGAGAUGCUAUUAAAUGAAUCUCCUAAUUAGCUAUUUUAAAAACAGCUACUUGGAAUGAAUAUAGUUUUGUUGAUUUAAAAAAAAUGAAUCUGCAUAUAGUUCUAGCUUUCAGGAAAAUAUGUCAUUUGGAUGUCAUAAAUAUC
Molecule: long non-coding RNA, 1703 nt
Filed under: Equus asinus (donkey)
Lineage: Eukaryota; Metazoa; Chordata; Mammalia; Perissodactyla; Equidae
Description: lncRNA (ENSEASG00005033089.1)
Source: RNAcentral